GUGCUAUACAUUUUAGUUCUGAGAGCAUCCCCAAUGGCAUUGGUUUUGGAGGACGAGCACACCACUUCGGCUUGUUCAUCUCAGCUAACUUUGACCUGGGGCAUACUUUCACCUGCACGACCUUUGGCAGUCCUAGCUUGUCAAAGACCCACCAAAUCUAUCCAGAAGUGAUAGAAUGCUGGGGAGUUGCGAUAAAAAGAGCUCAAGAUAAUCAGGAUAGACUUCAAGGUACCGUGUUAGAAAGAUUUAAAGAGGAUCGCCAUAUGCUUAACAUGGUUGGACUUGCAAAUUCAAGUGAGUGAUGUGCCCUCUGUACUUUCUUCUUGUGCUGAAUUAGCACAGUUUCUAGAGUUUAUUGUCUUGCGUGUAGUUUAAUAAUGUGUUGUGUUACUACAAUAUAAGUGAGUGCAAAAUCACUAGAUGCUCAACCCCGUGUAUGCGUCGAUAGCAUCUAGAGUGUAAUUUAAGGUUUUGCAAUCAUUACUAUCCCUGGAGUCUUGGCAAAUUUCUUCAUGCCAUUCUCCUAAUCAUUGUUA
RNAcentral lists this unclassified non-coding RNA (536 nucleotides) under Hevea brasiliensis (rubber tree). Lineage: Eukaryota; Viridiplantae; Streptophyta; Magnoliopsida; Malpighiales; Euphorbiaceae. The record is from RNAcentral.